Molecule: long non-coding RNA, 474 nt
Organism: Camelus dromedarius (Arabian camel)
Lineage: Eukaryota; Metazoa; Chordata; Mammalia; Artiodactyla; Camelidae
Exons: 2
Source: RefSeq, a predicted model, not a curated record
UGUGUGGCCCUGUUCUGCUGUCUGGGCACCCGGUGGAGGGGAGGGUGCCCGGUGCUGACAGCUGCUGCAUUGGGUUUCAGGUUCUGUAGGUGUUGUUCCUUUUGUCUGUCAUCCAACACAGCUCUCUCUUCUGUUCUGCAGGUCACUGUGGAUUCCCGAUGUCCCGGUACUUGUGCAGGACCACUUGGUGUGCCUCACCCGAUGGGACACCCAGCGUCACUUCUCAGAGGCUAUUCAUCACCGCCACCCCCACCUCUGUUGUGGCCUAUGCGGUCUCACCCACCGCCACCACCACCACCACCAGUUACAGCACUCGCACAGUCCAUUUGCCACAUGAAGGGGCCACUCAGCUGUGGCAAUGAUGUGUUUAGAGAAGAUGUCAGAGGUGCAUUACGGCCCGAAUGUUUCCCUGCUCCAACCUGCCCCCUCUGCUGUUCUCUCCUAUUGUCACCCCUAAUGAAAUUGUCACAGUUC